GGCAAGGUGCCGGAGUGGUUAACGGGAACGCCUCGAACCUCCGUUCGACACCGAUCACGGUGGUAAGCGUUUGGGCUCUGCCCGCACAGGUUCGAGUCCUGUUCUUGUCG
Molecule: transfer RNA, 110 nt
Filed under: Malassezia vespertilionis
Lineage: Eukaryota; Fungi; Basidiomycota; Malasseziomycetes; Malasseziales; Malasseziaceae
Description: tRNA-Ser
Rfam family: tRNA
About the family: Transfer RNA (tRNA) molecules are approximately 80 nucleotides in length.
Source: RNAcentral